CAGAGAGUGAGUGAAAAUGCUUUCGAUCUCUACCUCUAAUCUCAACCACCGCCUCGUAAAACUCUAAUUUUCUAUAGUUUAUUGAAUUUAAACUAGUUUAUGUCAAUCAUUGCUUGUGUUCUGUGCUCUAACUAGCUGCUAACCAUCGACUACGUUCUUUAUUAUCAUUUCAUUUAAACCUUUACAAACCUUUUGCUCCAUUUUGAGCUUGAGCUUGGUUAUUUGUGUAGUAAUUUUGAUAGGCAUAUAUGGUAAGAAAAGUUUGUUAUGGGAUUAGUUUAGUAAUGUUUAUAUUGUUGCUUUUGUGCCUGUAUUGUUUGUUUAAUGACAUAUGCUCUCAUCUUGUGCAAAUUGAAGCUUAGUUUCGAACUCAGCGACGGCGUAUCUCUGUUUCUGAAUAAUGGAUUGGAAUAUGAGGAAAUUGUACAUGGUCGGGGUGUAUGAUAUGUAAUAUAUAUUUUCAAUUGUUGUUGUUCUUAAUUAUGCAGGUCCGAAGACAGAAUUUGCUAUUCCAACUAUGGUUGAAUCUG
RNAcentral lists this unclassified non-coding RNA (530 nucleotides) under Hevea brasiliensis (rubber tree). The record is from RNAcentral. Lineage: Eukaryota; Viridiplantae; Streptophyta; Magnoliopsida; Malpighiales; Euphorbiaceae.